Molecule: ribosomal RNA, 2454 nt
Filed under: Triticum aestivum (bread wheat)
Lineage: Eukaryota; Viridiplantae; Streptophyta; Magnoliopsida; Poales; Poaceae
Description: partial small subunit ribosomal RNA
Source: RNAcentral
AUGGCGAGACCCAUGGACUGCGACCAGGUCCUCGAGCUCCAGAACGUGUCCCUGGACACCCUCUUCCUCAUCGUCCUCCAGGCCGUCGUCGUCAUCGCCCUCGGCAAGUUCAUCCACCUCUCCCUCCGCCGCCACAACCAGCCCAGCGCCAUCUCCCAGAUCCUCGCGGGUAUCAUGGUGGGGAGCCUGGGGCUGCACGAGGUGAUCGUGCACGUGGCCGUGGUGAACGUGGAGGACACGUACGGGUGGUACGUCUCCCAGGCGCGCAUCUUCUACAUGUUCUACGUCGGCCUCGACGCCGACCUCGCCUCGCUCUGGAACGACAAGCACCGCUGCACCAUCGCCACCUACGCCAGCGUCGCCACCUGCCUGCUCCUCGCCGCCUUCGUCUCGGGGGGCCUGUACGGCAGCAUGAUGCACACUCCCGUCCGCUCGCCCGAGCUGCUCGCCGCCGUGCUCAUGCUCACGCUCGCCAACACCUCCUCCGUCGACGUCUCCCGGAUGGCCGCCGAGCUCGGCCUCACCGCCACCGCCACCGGCCGGCUCGUCGUCGGUGCCGCCAUCGCCACCAACGUCAUCUGCAUCGUCGGGGAGGGCGCCUUCUCCUGCAUGAAGCUGGCAUCCGGAAGGACCCCAGGCUACACCGCGUCCCAGCGGCUCGGGCUCGGCGUGCUCGCGCUCUUCAAGGUCGGCCUCGCGCUCGCGCUGCUCCGCCCAGCCGUGGAGUUCAUGAACCGGCGCAACGCGGGGCGGCACCGCAUCGGGAACUGGGAGCUGGCGCUCAUCCUCAUCGCCGUAUCCUACAUCGGCGACUUCCCGCGGCAAGUCGGCUUCGACGGCAUGCCGGCGAGCCUCGUACUGGGGCUGGCGUUCCCCAGGGAGGGCCCCGUGGCGAGGACCGUCACGCACGCGCUUGCGUACCCGCUGCACGCGCUGGCCCUGCCCUUCUAUUUCGGGACCAUGGGGAUGCGGCUCAACUUUAGCGCCAUGUCCGGCGCCGUCGUCGUGCCCGCCGUCCUCCUCACCAUCCUCGGUCUCAUCGGCAAGUGCGCCGGCACCAUGGGCGCCGCCAGGUUCCUCCACAUGCCGCUCGGGGACGCCGCGCGCCUCGGCGUCCUGCUUAACAUCAAGGGCCACGUCAACAUGAUCGACAUGAGCUUCGCCAGCUCCGAGGGGAUUUGGGCGGAGCAGGCGCUCAUGGCCAUGGUGAUGGGCAGCAUGAUCAGCACCGUCAUCGCCGGGCCGGUGUUCGCCGUUGUGUACCGCAGGGAGAGGGAGGCGUAUCUGAGCAACGACCACAGGACGCUGGAGCGGCUGGUCCCGGACCAGGAGGAGGAGCUGCGGAUGCUCGCCUGCGUGCACGGCGCGCGCGCCGCGCCGGCGAUGCUCAGCCUCGUCGAGUUGCUGGCGAGCAAUCCCGCCGUGCAGCCCGCUGUGCACGUCCUGCACUUCUACGACGCUGUGCGCAAGCACGAACGCGCGGGCACCGGCGGCGCCAAACGCUACCACGAGCGGGUCCAGCUCGACAGCGACAAGCACUGGGAUCGCAUGGACGACGCCGCCACGCAGGUGAAUUGGACCGUCGACUUGUUCGCCUCCAUCACCGGUCUCGUCAUCCGGCAGGUCGACAAAGGCGACCGCGGCCCCGUCACGAACUUGAAGACCAUCCGCCGCUGCACGGAGGAGGUCCACGCCGACGUCCUGAUCAUGCCCUACCACAAGGAGCAGCACUACGACGGCAAGAUGUUCUGCCGGUGUGAGGAGCGCCGCCAGCUCAACCUGAACGUGCUUGAGCGCGCCCCGUGCACCACCGGCAUCCUCGCCGACCGCCCGUUCCGGAGAGGCGGCACCAGCUUCCAGCUACCGACCAAGAUAUCCACGAGCGAGGAGACGCUGGGGAACUGGCGGGAAGACCGGUCCACCGCACCGACGCACGUGGCGGCUGUCUUCCUCGGCGGGCCGGACGACCGCGAGGCCGUGGCCCUCGCCUGCCGCCUUGUCAAGAAUGACACAGUAAACCUGACCGUCAUCCGCUUCGUGGGACCCGGCAAGCACGACCACACCGGCGUCCAGACGGCACGCACCGACGAUCAUGCCGACGGGGAGGUGUCCGUCGUGGUGGACGAUCCCGACGAGUGCUGCAUGGCGGCGCUCCAGCGCGAGUACGUGGCGAAGGAGCUCGCGUCGUACGUUGAGAAGGUGGUGGGCGGCGCGGCGGACGUGGUGGAGGCCCUGCGCAGGAUGGCCGGGGCGUACGCGCUGGUCGUGGUGGGGCGCGGCGGGCGGCAGCCGGCAGAGCUGGUGGUCGGGCUCGAGGGCGGGGAGAUGGGCCCGGUCGGGGACAUCCUCGCGUCGGGCGAGUCACUGGAGAUGGGCUCCGUGCUCGUCGUGCAGCAGAAGAAGGCCGUGUCGACGGCGUCCGGCCUCGACCCACCACCGGCGGCGGGGGUCUGA